AGAGUUUGAUCCUGGCUCAGAUUGAACGCUGGCGGCAGGCUUAACACAUGCAAGUCGAACGGUAACAGGAGAAAGCUUGCUUUCUUGCUGACGAGUGGCGGACGGGUGAGUAAUGCUUGGGAAUCUGGCUUAUGGAGGGGGAUAACGACGGGAAACUGUCGCUAAUACCGCGUAGAGUCGGGAGACGAAAGUGCGGGACCGCAAGGCCGCAUGCCAUGAGAUGAGCCCAAGUGGGAUUAGGUAGUUGGUGGGGUAAAGGCCUACCAAGCCUACGAUCUCUAGCUGGUCUGAAAGGAUGACCAGCCACACCGGGACUGAGACACGGCCCGGACUCCUACGGGAGGCAGCAGUGGGGAAUAUUGCGCAAUGGGGGCAACCCUGACGCAGCCACGCCGCGCGAAUGAAGAAGGCCUUCGGGUUGUAAAGUUCUUUCGGUGACGAGGAAGGCGUGAUGUUUAAUAGGCAUCACGAUUGACGUUAAUCACAGAAGAAGCACCGGCUAACUCCGUGCCAGCAGCCGCGGUAAUACAGAGGGUGCGAGCGUUAAUCGGAGUAACUGGGCGUAAAGGGCACGCAGGCGGCUAUUUAAGUGAGGUGUGAAAUCCCCGGGCUUAACCUGAGAAUUGCAUUUCAGACUGGGUAGCUAGAGUACUUUAGGGAGGGGUAGAAUUCCACGUGUAGCGGUGAAAUGCGUAUAGAUGUGGAGGAAUACCGAAAGCUAAUGCAGCCUCUUGCGAAUGUACUGACGCUCAUGUGCGAAAGCGUGGGGAGCAAACAGGAUUAGAUACCCUGGUACUCCACGCUGUAUACGCUGUCGAUUCGGGGAUUGGGCUUUAAGCUUGGUGCCCGUAGCUAACGUGAUAAAUCGUCCGACUGGGGGUGUACGGCUGCGACGGUGAGGACUUCAAAUGAAUUGAUAUGAGGCCCGCUCCAGCCGUCGUAUACAUGUGAUUAUAUUUCGAUGAAACGCUGGAAGAACCAUAACUUACUCCUGACAUUCAUGCAGAUACUUGAGAAAUACUUAUGGUCUUUCUGCACCACUAAACAGAUAGUGCAUGACUAUCGUCUCCUCCUGUUGUGAAAUGAAUG
This 1089-nucleotide ribosomal RNA is filed under the name uncultured bacterium. Its description in RNAcentral is "bacterial SSU rRNA". It matches the Rfam family "Bacterial small subunit ribosomal RNA", at positions 8 to 1078 of the family's 1533-position model. The record is from RNAcentral.